GCGAGCGUUAUUCGGAUUUAUUGGGCGUAAAGCAAGCGCAGGCGGAUUGAUAAGUUCUGUGUUAAAAGCAGCUGCUCAACAGUUGUUUGCACCGAAUACUGUCAGUCUAGAAUGUGGUAGGGAGUUUCGGAAUUAAAUAUGGAGCGGUGGAAUGUGUAGAUAUAUUUAAGAACACCAGAAGCGAAGGCGGAAACUCAGGCCAUUAUUGACGCUUAGGCUUGAAAGUGUGGGGAGCAAAUGGGAUUAGAUACCCCAGUAGUCCACACCGUAAACGAUGGGUAUUAGAUGUCGGGUUUUAAUUCUCGGCGUUGUAGCUUACGUGUUAAAUACCCCGCCUGGGUAGUACAUAUGCAAAUAUGAAACUCAAAGGAAUUGACGGGGACCUGAACAAGUGGUGGAACAUGUUGCUUAAUUCGAUAAUACACGAAAAACCUUACCAAGGUUUGACAUCCCCCGCAAAGCCAUGGAAACAUGGUGGAGGUUAUCGGGGUGACAGGUGGUGCAUGGUUGUCGUCAGCUCGUGUCAUGAGAUGUUUGGUUAAGUCCCGCAACGAGCGCAACCCUACUCCUUAGUUACCUUUUCUAGGGAGACUGAACAGUAAUGUAUAGGAAGGUUGGGAUCACGUCA
Molecule: ribosomal RNA, 628 nt
Filed under: uncultured Mycoplasma sp.
Lineage: Bacteria; Bacillati; Mycoplasmatota; Mollicutes; Mycoplasmatales; Mycoplasmataceae
Description: bacterial SSU rRNA
Rfam family: Bacterial small subunit ribosomal RNA
Source: RNAcentral